Amphiprion ocellaris (clown anemonefish) is the source of this 432-nucleotide long non-coding RNA. The record is from Ensembl. NCBI's taxonomy places the organism in Eukaryota, Metazoa, Chordata, Actinopteri, Pomacentridae.
CACGCUUCGAAUCCACGGCACAUCUCGUAACGUCACUACGCUGGCAGUACACUCUUGUUCGCCUCCUGGUUGAAACUUAGAAUGGAAUAAAAUCUGAGUACAUGGUGCAAUGAAUGCAACUACAGCAUUUUACAUGCUACAGUUUUUCCUGAGGGCCCCCUUCAGGAGACUAAGGAAUGAAAGAAGAUGGCUGUAGCUGGACUGAGGGACAGCUACACUGACAAUAAACUCACCCAAUUUACAGCAUAAUCAUUUCAUUAAUAUAGCAAAUAAACGAACUACAAAGUAAUUGUCAGGUGAUUGAUGAUGUAGUACUCUGUAUGUCCAGGAGAGGGUACUCUUUUAAUCGCAUUAUAACUGUGGUAAUAUAAUGUAUUCAAGUUAAACCAGCAGGGUUACAUUAGGUAAUAUGGUGACAUUCUGAAAUGAAUG